CGGCCGCGGUAUCCUAACCGUGCGAAGGUAGCGUAAUCACUUGUUCUUUAAAUGUGGACUAGUAUGAAUGGCACCACGAAGGUUAUACUGUCUCCUUUUUCCAAUCAGUGAAACUAAUCUCCCCGUGAAGAAGCGGGGAUAAAACUAUAAGACGAGAAGACCCUAUGGAGCUUUAAACAAUAUAGCACUUGCCACAAAAGUAAAAAUUUCCUAAUUACUAAAUUUUCAAAGCAACAUGACUAUGAGUUUUUGGUUGGGGUGACCGCGGAGCAUAAUACAACCUCCAUGCUGGAAGAAUCUUUUUCUAAGCUAAGAACUACUCAUCUAAGCAUCAACAUAUUGACAUCCAUUGACCCAAUAUACUUGAACAACGAACCAAGUUACCCUAGGGAUAACAGCGCAAUCCACUUCAAGAGCUCCUAUCGACAAGUGGGUUUACGACCUCGAUGUUGGAUCAGGGUUCCCCAGUGGU
RNAcentral lists this ribosomal RNA (472 nucleotides) under Strauchbufo raddei (Mongolian toad). RNAcentral describes it as "partial large subunit ribosomal RNA". It matches the Rfam family "Bacterial large subunit ribosomal RNA", at positions 1928 to 2554 of the family's 2925-position model. Lineage: Eukaryota; Metazoa; Chordata; Amphibia; Anura; Bufonidae. The record is from RNAcentral.